CAUACAAAACCCUAAAAGGCCAAAACCCUAAGUCCUAACAUCUUCCUAUAUAACACACCUCCAUCUUUAGUCUCUUCUAUCUCCUGCUGGUUGCAAAAAUCGAUCUUGGUCUUUCGUGUUCAUGCUUGUCUUUGUGGUGCUCUUUUCUCUGUUGCAGUUGGUUGAAUGUUCUCGGACGGACAUCCGUUGAUUAUUUUUUGAGAUGCUCACGUCCCUCUCUGUUGGGUUGCUCUGGUCUCCAUAGUUUUUCACUUAACUUGUCAAGGUGGUUGAGAGAUGGAUAGUGCUCUGCAUUAUCUCUCUUCUCCAUUGCUGCUGCUCUUGGCUUUGCAUUUGGCUUCCUCAUUUCUCCUAGAGAUCGUUUUCAGCUGGCAUGAUCGGUGGACUGAGACUGUAUCGGAGUUGGUUAUUUAAGGGCCGUUGGCUUUCUUUUCUUAUGCUGGCUUUGGGUUUUGGGCAAUUUUUUAUUGGGCCUUCAACCUUGUAUAUUGGCUUUGACUCACUGGGCUUGAUCUAAGAAGCAUUUCUAUUUUGGGAAAAAUGAAAAUCUCAAAAUGUUAUUUUAC
Molecule: long non-coding RNA, 566 nt
Organism: Manihot esculenta (cassava)
Lineage: Eukaryota; Viridiplantae; Streptophyta; Magnoliopsida; Malpighiales; Euphorbiaceae
Exons: 2
Source: RefSeq, a predicted model, not a curated record